AGUGAACGCUGGCGGUAGGCCUAACACAUGCAAGUCGAACGGCAGCACAGUAAGAGCUUGCUCUUACGGGUGGCGAGUGGCGGACGGGUGAGGAAUACAUCGGAAUCUACUUUUUCGUGGGGGAUAACGUAGGGAAACUUACGCUAAUACCGCAUACGACCUACGGGUGAAAGCAGGGGAUCUUCGGACCUUGCGCGAUUGAAUGAGCCGAUGUCGGAUUAGCUAGUUGGCGGGGUAAAGGCCCACCAAGGCGACGAUCCGUAGCUGGUCUGAGAGGAUGAUCAGCCACACUGGAACUGAGACACGGUCCAGAAUCCUACGGGAGGAAGAAGUGGGGAAUAUUGGACAAUGGGCGCAAGCCUGAUCCAGCCAUACCGCGUGGGUGAAGAAGGCCUUCGGGUUGUAAAGCCCUUUUGUUGGGAAAGAAAAGCAGCAGGUUAAUACCCCGCUGUUCUGACGGUACCAAAAGAAUAAGCACCGGCUAACUUCGUG
This 492-nucleotide ribosomal RNA is filed under the name uncultured bacterium. Its description in RNAcentral is "partial 16S ribosomal RNA". It matches the Rfam family "Bacterial small subunit ribosomal RNA", at positions 29 to 507 of the family's 1533-position model. The record is from RNAcentral.